RNAcentral lists this ribosomal RNA (1496 nucleotides) under Cutibacterium acnes. RNAcentral's name for it is "partial 16S ribosomal RNA". It matches the Rfam family "Bacterial small subunit ribosomal RNA". Lineage: Bacteria; Bacillati; Actinomycetota; Actinomycetes; Propionibacteriales; Propionibacteriaceae. The record is from RNAcentral.
CAUGGCUCAGGACGAACGCUGGCGGCGUGCUUAACACAUGCAAGUCGAACGGAAAGGCCCUGCUUUUGUGGGGUGCUCGAGUGGCGAACGGGUGAGUAACACGUGAGUAACCUGCCCUUGACUUUGGGAUAACUUCAGGAAACUGGGGCUAAUACCGGAUAGGAGCUCCUGCUGCAUGGUGGGGGUUGGAAAGUUUCGGCGGUUGGGGAUGGACUCGCGGCUUAUCAGCUUGUUGGUGGGGUAGUGGCUUACCAAGGCUUUGACGGGUAGCCGGCCUGAGAGGGUGACCGGCCACAUUGGGACUGAGAUACGGCCCAGACUCCUACGGGAGGCAGCAGUGGGGAAUAUUGCACAAUGGGCGGAAGCCUGAUGCAGCAACGCCGCGUGCGGGAUGACGGCCUUCGGGUUGUAAACCGCUUUCGCCUGUGACGAAGCGUGAGUGACGGUAAUGGGUAAAGAAGCACCGGCUAACUACGUGCCAGCAGCCGCGGUGAUACGUAGGGUGCGAGCGUUGUCCGGAUUUAUUGGGCGUAAAGGGCUCGUAGGUGGUUGAUCGCGUCGGAAGUGUAAUCUUGGGGCUUAACCCUGAGCGUGCUUUCGAUACGGGUUGACUUGAGGAAGGUAGGGGAGAAUGGAAUUCCUGGUGGAGCGGUGGAAUGCGCAGAUAUCAGGAGGAACACCAGUGGCGAAGGCGGUUCUCUGGGCCUUUCCUGACGCUGAGGAGCGAAAGCGUGGGGAGCGAACAGGCUUAGAUACCCUGGUAGUCCACGCUGUAAACGGUGGGUACUAGGUGUGGGGUCCAUUCCACGGGUUCCGUGCCGUAGCUAACGCUUUAAGUACCCCGCCUGGGGAGUACGGCCGCAAGGCUAAAACUCAAAGGAAUUGACGGGGCCCCGCACAAGCGGCGGAGCAUGCGGAUUAAUUCGAUGCAACGCGUAGAACCUUACCUGGGUUUGACAUGGAUCGGGAGUGCUCAGAGAUGGGUGUGCCUCUUUUGGGGUCGGUUCACAGGUGGUGCAUGGCUGUCGUCAGCUCGUGUCGUGAGAUGUUGGGUUAAGUCCCGCAACGAGCGCAACCCUUGUUCACUGUUGCCAGCACGUUAUGGUGGGGACUCAGUGGAGACCGCCGGGGUCAACUCGGAGGAAGGUGGGGAUGACGUCAAGUCAUCAUGCCCCUUAUGUCCAGGGCUUCACGCAUGCUACAAUGGCUGGUACAGAGAGUGGCGAGCCUGUGAGGGUGAGCGAAUCUCGGAAAGCCGGUCUCAGUUCGGAUUGGGGUCUGCAACUCGACCUCAUGAAGUCGGAGUCGCUAGUAAUCGCAGAUCAGCAACGCUGCGGUGAAUACGUUCCCGGGGCUUGUACACACCGCCCGUCAAGUCAUGAAAGUUGGUAACACCCGAAGCCGGUGGCCUAACCGUUGUGGGGGAGCCGUCGAAGGUGGGACUGGUGAUUAGGACUAAGUCGUAACAAGGUAGCCGUACCGGAAGGUGCGGUUGG